AAUAUUAUGCCUAAAAGAUGAAGAGAAAUGAGGUGCCUUCUGCCACCCAGUCCACUUGAUAACGCUGAGGAGAGGAGCAAGUAGCCCUGUCCUGACAUUGACCCUGAUUUGCCCCUCUUCUUAUAAGAAUCCCAACUUCAGAAGCAUUGAUGGCAUCCAUCCCAGUGAGGAUGCCGCCUCUGACCUUGAUGGUAUCACUGACUCUGGCAAUACAGGGUCACCCAGCCACUCUUCUUUUCAGGUCCAGUUCCAAUUUUAACCAGUUUAGAGAGGAGCCCUCCCAUCCCUACCCUUAUGAGGUCUCAGGCAGUGGUGACAGACUUUUCUCCAGCAUUCUUUUUCCUGUGCCUUCCUUGGGAUUUGAGCCAAUUUCAGCUGGUAGGGUCCCUGAGUCACUUGUGAUAUCUCCACCAAGGUCCUGAUAACUGAGCAGGGUGGAUCCUUUCCCGGAGCUACUAGAGCAGCUAACCUCCUUUGUUGCACCUCUGCACCAAGAACUCUAAGCAUCAGUCUCAUUCCUAUGCCAGCACACCUUUCUAGGGCUGGUCUCACCUUCUUCUGGUGUCCAUGCACUUGACCGUGUCAGCCUUAUUCUAUGCCACCAUGAGUCAACCCUGCAAAGUAUGGAUGCUUUUGAGAUAUAAGGGUAGUUCUCCCACCUUUGGAUUCUCCCUGGACUGCACCACAGCACAGCACCCCUUAGCAUUAGCUGAAGUUCACAUAUCCGUGCCUGCUUGCCUUCAUCCUUUUUACCAUGUCUUAUGCAGACUGACCAUCAUAUAUUUUGUGCUUAAAACAGGGGCGUGAAACAUGUGAUAGGGAGAUUAUACUUUUCCAGACCCUUUUUACCACUCAUGCCUCUUCACACUGCCUGUUUGGUAUCCUCUCCACACCAUUUAUUUUCCUGUUCACUCAAGGUCAGAGCCCCGUAACUCCUCAAACCUCUCUCCUGACUGGGAGAAGGGCUAAAGAAUGUCAGUAAAUAAAAGAGCUUUUGUCCAA
Hyaena hyaena (striped hyena) is the source of this 1002-nucleotide long non-coding RNA. RefSeq lists it as uncharacterized. The record is from RefSeq and is a predicted model, not a curated record. The transcript is spliced from 2 exons. NCBI's taxonomy places the organism in Eukaryota, Metazoa, Chordata, Mammalia, Carnivora, Hyaenidae.